UAAACCACAAAAACAGAGAAUUGCAAAGAUGACAAAGUUACACAGAUGAUAUGACUAUAAUUUUCUAAACUUAAGAAAACCAUAGAAUAUCGAGAUGUGAAAGUUACACAGAUCAAAUGUAUGUUUCAAGAAAAAGAAGAAAAUAACAGAAAACGAGAAUUUACAAAUUAGAAUAACACAUUAACACUUGAGGAUUCAUGAUUUAAUAAACUUCUGAAAUGAGUGGAAGCAUAAACUAUAUAUGAAACAAGAUUAAUUUUUUUUUUUUUUUUUGCAAAAAGGGUGGAUAAUAUCUCAAGAAGACGAGACGACGUCUCGAUUGUUUUUUUUUUUCAAAAUAUGAAAAAAGCCUAAGAUAUAUAAAAUGAAUAUUUUGUAGAUAUUCUUAAGUUGUUUCAUUUCAAUUUUUUUUAUUUUUGUUGAAACUGUUACAUUAUAUUUAAAAUAAAUUAUAACGAAAUAUAGUUGUGAAAUAUUCAGGUCGGACAAUUUAGUAAAUUUGUAUAUACAAAAGUGUAUUUUUCAAAAAAACUUAAAUAACAGUGUAGUUUUCAAAUUAAAAUUUUAUUUAAGUGUAUUUCUCUAAAUUUUCCCAUGAAUUAUUAUCUAAAGAACUAAUAUAAAUAUUAAAUAAUAUUUAUUAAUUAAUAAUUUAAUUUUGGAUAAUAUAUAACUAUAUUAUUUUAAAAUAAAUUUUUUUAAAAAAUAUAUAGAUU
RNAcentral lists this long non-coding RNA (716 nucleotides) under Brassica rapa (field mustard). RNAcentral describes it as "long non-coding RNA (BRAP_LNC002207)". The record is from RNAcentral. Lineage: Eukaryota; Viridiplantae; Streptophyta; Magnoliopsida; Brassicales; Brassicaceae.